Molecule: long non-coding RNA, 570 nt
Organism: Rosa rugosa (rugosa rose)
Lineage: Eukaryota; Viridiplantae; Streptophyta; Magnoliopsida; Rosales; Rosaceae
Exons: 4
Source: RefSeq, a predicted model, not a curated record
AAACCUAAAGCCCCAAAACGGGAUCGAAUCUCACUUCGUCACUGACUCACUGUCAGUCCCACUUCGCCGUCGCUGAUCAAGCCUUCGCCGUCGCCCUCUCACAUCGUCGUCGCUGAUCAGUUCUUCGCCGUUGCUAUCUCACAUCGCUGUCGCUCUCUCUCUCUCUGUCUGUCCUCACCGCGCCCCUCCUCCCCAAAGCUCAUCCGUCAGCCUCCAGCCUUACAUCUUAACGAGUUAACAUUGAACCCAUUCGCAACCUUUUUGCUGCCCUUUUCCUUGCCAGCAUUGGGAUGCUGAUUCAUGUUCAGUUUCUCUGGAAUCAUGUUGAUAUAUUUCUCGCGUCUGUCAUCUUAGUUAUCAUCAUAAAAACAAUUAUUAUAACCAUGGUUGUCAAGGGAUUUGGAUACAACAACAAAACAUCAUUCCUAGUUUGAAUAUCUCUAGCACAGAUAGGCGAAUUUGCUUUUGUUCUUUUAAGUCGUGCCUCUAAUCUCCAUCUAGUCGAGGGGAAAUUAUAUCUGCUGCUGCUUGGAACCACAACACUUAGUCUGGUAGGAUAUAAUCUUCAUU